GGAAAAAUGAGUUUUGAACGGUCAUCCAACUUGGAAUUACUAUUCGUAAACUCGGGCGUCAUGCCGCUUUCAAAACAAUUGAGAACUCUGGCUAAAAUUAGCUCGGACUGGGAAAAAUAAUUUUGAAUUCCAAGUCGGAACUCUUUCUCCGUCGUGAUUUGACCUAGUUUUUUUCCGAGUUCCCAGUUGUCUUGAAAGCGCCAUCGUCAUUAGAACUCCGACUUCUCUGACAUGAAGGUCACUGACGUCCCGAUCCUAAGAUUUCCCCCCCCAUUCUGAGCUCGUUUUUUCCGAAUCCCCAAUUCGCUUGAAUGCACCAAAAGUUUAUAUAGCGCAAAAGACUGGCCAGCCACAUGCUUGCUCAUUCGAUUAGUCUUGUGAUCGACCUGAAGACGCCUUUCUCAAUGUCGAAGUUAUGGCUUAGAAAUGCUUCAUUGGUGUUUAACGUUAGUUAUUGGUACACUGCUGCCACUUGAGUCUUGCAAUGCUCCUGAACUGGUCAUUAACUCCAAGUAGCUAAAUUGGUGUUGUGGAGGGUUGGGCCUUGCAGAACCAUGCACGUGGGGAACUGGAGAAACGUAAAACCAUUCCGGGGGUAAGUUUAUGUUUGGCGCGGAUGUUACUGAAUUAACUGCUAAUACGUAACUAACGUGGUCGAUUUUUGACAAUUUAUGGAUGUGAUCUAGUAAGACGAAGAUUCCUAAACUGUUAGCCAUCUGAUCCACGAACACGGAAAACCAGUUUACGCAAUGGAAAUUAGCAUGGGUAACUGUAGCCGAUUAAACGCAACUCCGCGCUUUAUGAUUGAGCUAAGGGGCGACUAGUGUUGACGAACUGGCGCUGCUCAUACGUUACAUAACAUGGAAGUUAACUACUGAUUUCGGCACCCAUAGAAUAUCCCGAAAUUACAGACAUGGUGUUUGUAAUUGCGGCCUGUUUGGGCGCUGAACUCGUUUUCUUUUUGUUGUUGUAAACGUCACUAUUGUGACGUCGGAGCUCCAGUCCGCCCAUAGUUGCAGCUCAACUCCAUCUUAAAUCGAGGCGUUUAGUUGGCUAAGUUAGCUAGUCCACACAUUUUUUUGAAAUGCAAGUCCUGUUAAGUCCUCAUGCAAUUAACCAAAUUGUACAUUAGUUCUAGAUUCGGGAGCCCACUCCUUCUGGACCUGGCCAGGGCGGUAUGAACUGGAGCAUACCCCAUUGACUGCACAUGGCUGGUAAAUUCAACUGGCUAUUGAGGCCAGACUAGUAAUGUCUAGUUGGGUAUUCAAUGGCAAAUUGUUUAUAAUUUUAAACGAAUUGGUGUCUAGUCCUCUGAUCAAUGAUUUUGAAUAGGCACCAUGGCCACAGCUGGCAGUGAUGAAAGCUUGAAUAGGAAGAGUUUGAUGCAACAACUGAUGAUUUCAACUACUACUGAGCAACAGCUGUGUUAAGAGACCUUCAGCCAUGUUCAGGAGAUAAUUGUUUUCAUAUCGAUUCUCAUAACCCCCCUGUGAUUUGUUUUGAACAGGAGUGAUACCGCCCCAAUGAGUUGAUGACUAGAAGACUCACGGUGUUAAACCACCCCAAUGGGUUGAUGGCAAGUAGACUUAACCUGGUAAGGUGGUGUCCCUUUGAAUAACAUCCCUGCAAGUUCUCCCUGGACUGGACCUGUGGACGAUUCUCUUCCACGUGGCCGGAGUUUCCAAGACGGUCGGUCCUUUCUUCCUCUGGAAGUGAUCAACUGGAAGGAAUUGUGUUGUGUGGUAGCCCAUAUGGGACUCACCUGGGACAUGGAUACCUGAAGACCGAAGGCUCAACAUUGUUAAUAAAUAUCAUGAGCAGCAGUGGUUUCCUUUGUCUUUUCCAUGUGUGUUCUGCUUUGUUUGUGAGGUUUUGCUGAGUAAUGGUGUUUGUCUGUGACUAUAGCAAAGACGGUCAUUCUUUUUAACUUCAAUAAAUCGGUUUUAACCAAG
Long non-coding RNA from Oncorhynchus tshawytscha (Chinook salmon), 1952 nucleotides. NCBI's taxonomy places the organism in Eukaryota, Metazoa, Chordata, Actinopteri, Salmoniformes, Salmonidae. The record is from Ensembl.